This 499-nucleotide ribosomal RNA is filed under the name uncultured bacterium. Its description in RNAcentral is "bacterial SSU rRNA". It matches the Rfam family "Bacterial small subunit ribosomal RNA", at positions 28 to 521 of the family's 1533-position model. The record is from RNAcentral.
GAUGAACGCUAGCGGCAGGCUUAAUACAUGCAAGUCGAGGGGCAGCGCGGGUAGCAAUACUUGGCGGCGACCGGCAAACGGGUGCGGAACACGUACGCAACCUUCCCAUAACUGGUGAAUAGCCUUUCGAAAGAGAGAUUAAUACACCGUAACAUAACGAAGAGGCAUCUCUUUGUUAUUAUAGGCUUCGGCCGGUUUUGGAUGGGCGUGCGCCUGAUUAGGUAGUUGGCGGGGUAACGGCCCACCAAGCCUGCGAUCAGUAACUGGUGUGAGAGCACGACCAGUCACACGGGCACUGAGACACGGGCCCGACUCCUACGGGAGGCAGCAGUAAGGAAUAUUGGUCAAUGGACGCAAGUCUGAACCAGCCAUGCCGCGUGAAGGAUGAAGGUCCUCUGGAUUGUAAACUUCUUUUAUCUGGGACGAAAAAGCUCAUUCUUGAGCACUUGACGGUACCAGAGGAAUAAGCACCGGCUAACUCCGUGCCAGCAGCCGCGGU